AAACUACUUUUAAACGUAAUUUAUUUUGCUGUAGUAAAUUAAAUUUAUUAUUAUUAAUAAUAAUAAUAAUAAUAAUAAUAAUAAUAAUAAUAAUAAUAAUAAUAAUAAUUAAAGCCGCGAGCGGCGUCAUAGGUUCCGAUGAAGCGGCCGGGGACGGUAACCCACGGUCACGUAUACCACUGUUGGGGAUUUGGGAAUUGGCCUGGAGUUGUAAGCGUUUUCGUAUAACGGCGUAGUUAUGGCGAGGGAUUUUCCUGUGUCAUGAUAGGCCCCUCCCACUUUUCACAACCUGCUCUAUUUGCCAUAGCAAUGUGCUUCCAUCUAAUAAGAUUCAUCCUACAGUGUUUUGAAGUCACCACGACAUAUCGUCUGUCCGCUACAGCUGCUCGUGUAGGACGACCACAGAAGCGGCGCCCUCUGAGAACGCAAGGCAUUAUGGGAAUUUGCUCCCCUCUGUGUAGGUUCAUCCUACAGUGUUUUGAAGUCAACACGACAUAUCGUCUGUCCGCUACAGCUGCUCGUGUUGGACGACCACAGAAGCGGCGCCCUCUGAGAACGCAAGGCAUUGUGGGUAAAUUGGUUAUCGUUUGUUGUUUGGGGCUGUACGGUCAUCAUGUCUAUCAAAUAUGAAGCACUUUGAACUUUGCAUUCUGGAGUUGUAAGCGUUUUCGUAUAACGGCGUAGUUAUGGCGAUGGAUUUUCCUGUGUCAUGAUAGGCCCCUCCCACUUUUCACAGCCUGCUCUUUUUGCCAUAGCAAUGUGCUUCCAUCUAAUAAGAUUCAUCCUACAGUGUUUUGAAGUCAACACGACAUAUUGUCUGUCCGCUACAGCUGCUCGUGUAGGACGACCACAGUGGCGGCGCCCUCUGAGAACGCAAGGCAUUGUGGGUAAAUUGGUUAUCGUUUGUUGUUUAGCUCUGGACAGUGAUCGUAUGUAUCAAAUAUGAAGCAGUUUGAACUUUGCACUCUAGAGUUAUAAGCGUUUUCGUAUAUAUGGCGUUGUUAUGGCGAGGGAUUUUCGUGUGUCAUUAUAAGCCCCUCCCACUGACCACAGUCUGUUGUUCCUUCAAUAGGAAUUUGCUCCCCUCUGUGUAGGUUCAUCCUACAGUGUUUUGAAGUCAACACGACAUAUCGUUUGUCCGCUACAGCUGCUCGUGUUGGACGACCACAGAGGGCGAAGAAUUUUUCAGUGAUAUUUUAGGCCCCUCCCACUGACCACAGUCUGUUGUUUCUUCAAUAGGAAUUUGCUCCCCUCUGUGUAGGUUCAUCGUACAGUGUUUUGAAGUCAACACGACAUAUCGUCUGUCCGCUACAGCUGCUCGUGUUGGACGACCACAGAAGCGGCGCCCUCUGAGAACGCAAGGCAUUGUGGGUAAAUUGGUUAUCGUUUGUUGUUUAGCUCUGGACAGUGAUUGUAUGUAUCAAAUAUGAAGCAGUUUGAACUUUGCACUCUAGAGUUAUAAGCGUUUUCGUAUAUAUGGCGUUGUUAUGGCGAGGGAUUUUCGUGUGUCAUUAUAAGCCCCUCCCACUGACCACAGUCUGUUGUUUCUUCAAUAGGAAUUUGCUCCCCUCUGUGUAGGUUCAUCCUACAGUGUUUUGAAGUCAACACGACAUAUCGUCUGUCCGCUACAGCUGCUCGUGUUGGACGACCACAGAAGCGGCGCCCUCUGAGAACGCAAGGCAUUGUGGGUAAAUUGGUUAUCGUUUGUUGUUUAGCUCUGGACAGUGAUCGUGUGUAUCAAAAAUGAAGCAGUUUGAACAUUGCAUUCUAGAGUUAUAAGCUUUUUCCUAGAACGGCGUCCUGUUGAUGCUAACCGUGUACAUGACCUUAAAUGACACCGGUCGAAAACACAAGGCAUGAUGGGAAAUGUUUCAAAGCAGUCAUGACCAAGCUUGGGCACAUGUCCUUUGUGUGAAAUUUGAAGCUGAUCGAAGUUUGUGUGUCAGAGUUAUGGAGAUUUGGAAUUUUUUGCGUGCUAACGAAAAUUAGCAUUACAUUUUUGUGGCGGCGCCACGACCAAACCGUGACAGAUACGAAAAUUCUUUUGAUAACUUUUCAUCUUCAAUGGGUCCUAUGUGGUGUUGCCAAGUUUUAAGCGAAUCGGAUGAAUCCCCUCAGACUAGUUCGCGCAGAUGCGUUUCGAGGGCGAAACGCCAUUUUUGACCUUUGACCCAAGAUGGCUGACUUCCUGUUUGGUUUUGGGCGGGGUCACAAUGUAACUUUUUGCUCAUUCUAGGGCGAAGACUACAUGUGGCGAUUUUCGUGCAAAUCGGUCAAACCUGGCGGUCGUGCGGUUCCAUCGUUUUUUUGGCGGCGAAAACGCACGCUACGCGUGCGUUUUCUGUCCGUUUUUUUUCACGCCACCAAAUUAUCAAAUUUUUCGCCAGGCCUGAGGUGCGUGCAAAUUUCGGUGAGUUUUCGGGCAUUUUUAGGGGGUCGAAUUAGCGAUCAAAGGCGGGCGGGGUAUAAUAAUAAAACGAUAUAAUAGCGAAAACA
This is a long non-coding RNA of Gouania willdenowi (blunt-snouted clingfish), 2496 nucleotides long. The record is from Ensembl. Lineage: Eukaryota; Metazoa; Chordata; Actinopteri; Blenniiformes; Gobiesocidae.